AUCAUUUUUGAGUUGCAUUUUUAUACUGCGCUGUAACAUUAAACGAAUAUCGUGUAACUGGGCUUUCGACUACUGGGGAAGCGGCACCAAAGUCACCGUAACAAACAGUGAAUCAUCUCCACCAAAGUCAAUCUUGCCGAUAUCCCAGUGUACUCCUGAUUCUGCUGGGUCCCUCGUCAUCGCCUGCAUGGCAAGAGGUUUCUCACCUGAGGACUCGCUUACUUUUAAAUGGACGGAUUAUACUAAGAAGGAGUUGAGUGAUUUCGUGCAGUAUCCAGCAUUCAGUAGUGGCGGACAAUACACCAAAAUCAGCCAUCUGCGCAUUAGUAAAAGCGAUUGGAAUCCUCAAAAACCUUACAAUUGCGAAGCUUCAAAUUCUGCCGGCAAAAAAGCAUCCCCUGUUGCUCCAGGUCCAAGAAAACCCACCCUGAGUUUGGUUUCUGUCACAACCCUAAAAAGUAAAUCUUUCAUGUGUGCUGUUGAAGAUUUCUACCCCCAAAACGACCUCUCGGUACAAUGGAAGAUAAAUGAUACAAAUUCCUUGAGUCCGCUAAAACUGGAGAGUAAAUCGAAUGAGCAAGGUUUUUAUAAUGGAUACAGUUUUUAUGAAGUCAGCAGUGAGAAUUCGGAUGUGAAUACUCAGUAUACCUGUGAGGUCACACACCAGGGAAAACAGUUUAACAGAUCAGCAUACUUCAAAGCUAAAUUUUCACUGACAAUGAAGCCACCAAUUCAGAAAGAAAUAUUUGUUAAUGAUAAAAUUGUCUUGCAAGCCGUUGUUUCUGGAGAUGUAAAAAAAACAGUGCAAGAUACUUCAGUAUCAUGUAAAGUGAAGGAUGAGCUUGUGCCCAAUGGGAAUAUCACAACAGGGGAUGUUCAAUUAUCUCCUGAAACUUCACAAUUUAACAGAAUUCACGAUGUCAUCAUUAAUACAAAUAAAUGGUUUAAUGGUGAAGUGGUCACCUGCACCAUCCAUGACACAAAUAAUAACAAAGACAUCGAGCAGAAGAUCAGUUUUCAAAAAGAUGGAAAAGAGCCCACUGUUACCAUUUACAAACCUGAUAACGUCAAAGAUAAUAUCUCUCAUGUGUGUGAGGUCACCAGCCCUAAACUCGGUGAUGUCUAUGUAAUGUGGAAAGGGGAUGAUGGUUCUUACAGAGAGGGCACAACCAGUGCUCCCAUCCAUCAAAAGGACUCAACGUCUGUUCUCAGCAUCCUAACAAUGACAAAAGAAGAGUAUGAAAAGCCCAGCACCACCAUCACCUGUGCAGUGAUUCAUGCCAACAUGGCCAAUAGAAGAGCUCCAUUACAAGUGACAACAAGCAAAAGUGAGACACCUGAGCCAGAAACAGGCUUUGCUCUGGACUGCAAUAAAGAUGUUCUUGAGGAGGAUGAGUUCAGAAGUCUCUGGUCCACUGCCACCUCAUUCAUCUUCCUCUUCCUCUUCUCUCUGACCUACAGCGCUGUGCUCAGCUUCUUCAAGGUGAAGCAGUGAUGAUUUGUU
Carassius auratus (goldfish) is the source of this 1504-nucleotide non-coding RNA. NCBI's taxonomy places the organism in Eukaryota, Metazoa, Chordata, Actinopteri, Cypriniformes, Cyprinidae. The record is from the annotation of a RefSeq genome assembly.